GCUAAACCAUGUUAUUAAAGCAUCAAAGAAAAUGUAUUAUGAAGAACAAUUAAUAAAAUAUAAGCAUGAUACUAAAAUGAUUUGAAAACACUAAAUAAUAUUCUGAACAAAAAAACAAAGAAAACAAAUUUACCAAAGCAGUUUGCUGAUAAUACGUCAUCUAGCACUAUAGAUGACCCUAUAAAAAUUGCAAACAAAUUUAAUGACUAUUUUGUAAAUAUAGGACCAAAUCUAGCUAAGAAAAUUAAUAACACUAAUAUAACAUUUGAUAAAUACCUCACAAACAGCAUCCCUAACAGCUUAUUUCUGGAUCCAGUUACAGAAUAUGAAGUAAGAAGUGAAAUAGAAAAACUAAACACAACCAAAAGUCCUGGACAUGAUGGUCUUAGUGCAAAAAUAAUAAAACUUGUGACAAAUGAAAUCUCUAAACCAAUUGCACAAAUAUUUAAUCAAACAUUCCUAACUGGUAAUAUUCCCCUUGAACUCAAAAUAGCGUUGGUAACGCCGAUUUAUAAGUCAAAUGAAGAGAACAAAUUUGAAAACUAUAGACCAAUUUCAGUUAUCACUUGUUUUGCAAAAAUACUAGAGAAAAUUAUGUAUAAACGUCUCAUCAAUUUUGUCGAAAAAAAUAAUAUUCUAUCAGAACACCAGUAUGGAUUUCGCAAAAAUAGAUCAACUGAACUCGCUAUAAUUGAAUUUAUUGAUAAAAUAACAAAAGCAAUUGACAAAGGACAAUAUACAAUUGGUAUUUUCCUUGACUUGUCAAAAGCAUUUGAUACUAUUAAUCAUAGCAUCCUGAUUAAAAAAUUAGAAUACUAUGGAAUUAGAGGUGUUGCUCUUAAAUGGUUUGAGAACUAUCUAGCCAAUAGAAAACAAAUUGUUAAGUAUAAUGACACUAAGUCUGAAGCAAUGACAAUAACUAGUGGUGUUCCUCAAGGCUCAAUUUUGGGGCCAAUAUUAUUUUUAUUGUACAUAAAUGAUAUCCAAAAUUGCAGCAAACUAGUUUCCAAAAUAUUGUUUGCAGAUGACACAAAUAUUUUCCAUAGCCAUUCUUGCUUAAAAGAGUUAAAUUUAAUCAUGCAAGACGAAAUAAAUAAAAUAGCAGAUUGGAUUAGCAGUAAUAAACUAUCACUAAACACAACUAAAACAAAAUUUAUUUUAUUUAAAUCAUCAAACAAAAGGAUUAAACAUAAUACAAUAAUAUCGAUAAAUGGACAACCAAUAAAACAAGUUAAGAAUACAACUUUCCUUGGUGUUGUUAUUGAUGAACACUUAACAUGGAAUGAUCAUAUUGAUUUAAUUACGAAAAAAGUUAUAAAAGCUACAGGAAUAAUAUCCAAAAUUCGACAUUUCACAAAUUUUAAUACUCUUAAACUAGUCUAUUAUGCUUUAGUUUAUCCUUAUUUAAUAUACGGAAAUUUGAUUUGGGGAAACACAUAUAAAAAACGACUACAAAAAUUAAUAAACAUUCAAAAAAAAAUAAUACGAUUAAUGAUGUUCAAGUCAUAUUCUGAGCAUUCUGAACCACUAUUCAAUGAAGCAAAGAUUCUUAACAUUGAAAAAAUUAAUGACUUUCUGAUCAGUUUAUUCAUGUUUCGAUAUCACUACUUGGAUAAUUUACCAAAAUACUUUACCAAUUACUAUGUUACUAACAACAAAAUACAUGAACACAAUACAAGAAACGCAUCCAAACUUCAUAAAUCAUGCUCCAGAACUAAUUUUGUCAAACAUUCACUUCAAAAUAAGGGUGUAAAUAUCUGGAAUGAGUUAAAUACUGACUUAAAAAAUUUAAAAUCCUAUUGCAC
Paramuricea clavata is the source of this 1805-nucleotide non-coding RNA. The record is from the annotation of a GenBank genome assembly. NCBI's taxonomy places the organism in Eukaryota, Metazoa, Cnidaria, Anthozoa, Malacalcyonacea, Plexauridae.